GAAACCUCUUUGGAGUUU
This 18-nucleotide small nuclear RNA is filed under the name Arabidopsis thaliana (thale cress). RNAcentral's name for it is "snRNA_04523". Lineage: Eukaryota; Viridiplantae; Streptophyta; Magnoliopsida; Brassicales; Brassicaceae. The record is from RNAcentral.